This 368-nucleotide ribosomal RNA is filed under the name uncultured organism. RNAcentral describes it as "bacterial LSU rRNA". It matches the Rfam family "Bacterial large subunit ribosomal RNA", at positions 2098 to 2465 of the family's 2925-position model. The record is from RNAcentral.
GCUUUACUGUAGCUUGGCUUUGAGUUUCGAUAAUUUGUGUGCAGUAUAAGUGGGAGACUAUGAUACAUCGGCGUUAGCUGGUGUGGAGUCAUCAGUGAGAUACCACUCUCAACUUGUUGGAAUUCUAACCUGAUACCAUUAGCUGGUUCGGGAACAGAGCCUGGUGGGCAGUUUGACUGGGGCGGUCGCCUCCUAAAGAGUAACGGAGGCGCUCAAAGGUCCCCUCAAUACGGUUGGAAAUCGUAUGAAGAGUGUAAUCGCACAAGGGGGCUUGACUGUAAGGCCGACGCGCCGAACAGGGACGAAAGUCGGAGAUAGUGAUCCAAUAGCAUCGCGUGGUGGAGCUAUUGCUCAACGGAUAAAAGUUA